ACGCUGGCGGCGUGCUUAACACAUGCAAGUCGAACGAUGAAGCCGGAGCUUGCUCCGGUGGAUUAGUGGCGAACGGGUGAGUAACACGUGAGCAAUCUGCCCUUGACUCUGGGAUAACUGCGGGAAACUGUAGCUAAUACCGGAUACGACACCUUGGGGCAUCCCAGGGUGUGGAAAGAAUUUCGGUCAAGGAUGAGCUCGCGGCCUAUCAGCUAGUUGGUGAGGUAAUGGCUCACCCAAGGCGACGACGGGUAGCCGGCCUGAGAGGGUGACCGGCCACACUGGAACUGAGACACGGUCCAGACUCCUACGGGAGGCAGCAGUGGGGAAUUUUGGACAAUGGGGGCAACCCUGAUCCAGCCAUGCCGCGUGAGUGAAGAAGGCCUUCGGGUUGUAAAGCUCUUUCGGCCGGGAAGAAAUCGUAUGGGUUAAUACCCUGUGCGGAUGACGGUACCGGCAUAAGAAGCACCGGCUAACUACGUG
Molecule: ribosomal RNA, 483 nt
Filed under: uncultured bacterium
Lineage: Bacteria
Description: bacterial SSU rRNA
Rfam family: Bacterial small subunit ribosomal RNA
Source: RNAcentral